GACAGAGUGAGACUCUGUCUAAAGAAAAAAAAAAGAAUGAGAUCAGACUUGGGGGUAGGGUCCACAGAACAAGAUGCUGCAUCCCCUGAGAAAGAGAAGAUGAACCCGCUGGAACAGUAUGAGAGAAAGGUGAAUGCGUCUGUUCCAAGGGGUUUCCCUUUCCACUCAUCGGAGAUUCAGAGGGAUGAGCUGGCACCAGCUGGGACAGGGGUGUCCCGUGAGGCUGUGUCGGGUCUGCUGAUCAUGGGAGCGGGCGGAGGCUCCCUCAUCGUCCUCUCCAUGCUGCUUCUGCGCAGGAAGAAGCCCUAC
This 309-nucleotide small RNA is filed under the name Pan troglodytes (chimpanzee). RNAcentral describes it as "retained intron". Lineage: Eukaryota; Metazoa; Chordata; Mammalia; Primates; Hominidae. The record is from RNAcentral.